UUAAACUAAGAAUAUAACGGGUAGAGCUUUAUAUUCAAAAAUUAAUAGAAGAUGAAUUAAUAAAUGAAUAUUUAAAAAUUAGACUUUUUAGUGGCCAUAUUAUUAAAGUAUUUUAACUAUUAAAAUAAAAUAAGUUUUAUUUUAAAUUCUCUUUUUUUUUUAGUGAAAUAUAAAUUUAUAUUUUAAAUGAAUUAGAAAUAAUGAAAAUAUUAGUAGAAUAUUUAAAUAUAUAAAAUAGAAAUGUUAAAAUUAAUAAAUAAUUUUAAUUAAAGAAAGAAAAAUUAAAGGAAUUCGGCAAAUUUUUUUCUUGCCUGUUUAACAAAAACAUGUCUGUAUGAAGUUAUAUAAAGUCUGGCCUGCCCAUUGAAAAAAUUUAAAAGGCCGCGGUAUAUUAACUGUGCAAAGGUAGCAUAAUCAUUAGUUUUUUAAUUGAAGGCUUGUAUGAAUGGUCUGACAAAGUAAAAGCUGUCUUUAAUUUUAUUUUUGAAAUUAACUUUUAAGUGAAAAGGCUUAAAUAAAUUUAAGGGACGAUAAGACCCUAUAAAUCUUUAUAUUAAUUUGUUAUUUUAAAAAAUUAAUAGAUUUUGUUUUAAAAAAUAAAUAAACAAAUAAUAUUUUAUUGGGGUGAUGAGAAUAUAUAAAAAACUGUUCUUAAAAUAAACAAAGUUAUUUGUUAAGAAAAAAAAAUAAUAGAUCCUUUAUUAAGAUAAAAAGUUUAAGUUACUUUAGGGAUAACAGCGUUAUUUUUUUUGAGAGUUCCUAUCGAAAAAAAAGUUUGCGACCUCGAUGUUGAAUUAAAAUUUCUCUGCGGUGUAGAAGUUGUAGAAGAAAGUCUGUUCGACUUUUGAAAUUUU
RNAcentral lists this ribosomal RNA (854 nucleotides) under Paramunida tenera. RNAcentral describes it as "partial 16S ribosomal RNA". The record is from RNAcentral. Lineage: Eukaryota; Metazoa; Arthropoda; Malacostraca; Decapoda; Munididae.